UACGGAGGAUGCAAGCGUUAUCCGGGAUUUAUUGGGUUUAAAGGGUGCGCAGGUUGUUUGAUAAGUCAGUGGUGAAAAGCUGCCGCUUAACGGUAGUCUUGCCAAUGAUACUGCGUUUCUUGAGUAUGGUUAAGGUAGGCGGAAUGUGCAGUGUAGCGGUGAAAUGCAUAGAUAUUGCACAGAACACCGAUUGCGAAGGCAGCUUACUAAUCCAUCAUUGACGCUGAGGCACGAAAGCGUGGGGAGUCAAACA
RNAcentral lists this ribosomal RNA (253 nucleotides) under uncultured prokaryote. Its description in RNAcentral is "partial 16S ribosomal RNA". It matches the Rfam family "Bacterial small subunit ribosomal RNA", at positions 524 to 775 of the family's 1533-position model. The record is from RNAcentral.